CUUACCCUCACUGGCUCUGUAUAAAAUAUUUCAGGGUUACUUUUCUUAUCAUCUCUGUAACCUGCUGAUUCGGAAAGUUUGUAGCACAGAAAAGUGUUGAUUUAAUUAGAAAUUUUGUAAAUAGUAAUUAGGGGAGGGUAUAAUAAUAUUCAUCACCUGCCUGUUAAUAUUCAUUGUAUGGGAGUUAACAUACCAAAUAAGGUUUUAGGGAAAGUAAUGAUAAACAUGUGAAUUAACAUACUAAAAUAGAUAAAACGGUGUAAUUGUUGCCACUUGGCAAUGUGUUGGGGUCUGAAGUUAAUGUGCGUGAGCCAUAAAGCAGUUCUGUUUACCCCAUCCGUGCCUGGGUCGCCUGUUUCUUCUCUAACAAGUACAAAUGAUCUUGUCAUGAUACCAAGGAAUGGUUAGAUGGGCCAGCUCCAUCAUGCAUCUCACAGAACUCGCAGUGCAAGUCAGCACUCCUCCUAGACAUUGAAGAGGAGUCCCUCACAAGCCCUAGAAAGAAACUUAUGGGACCUCUUCCUCAGAGGACUCUAGGAAGGAGAGAACACUCUCUUCCUGCUGGAGGGAGCACCAGAUCUUCAGUCAGAAAGCACAUUUCAGAUAGACUCUAAAAGGAGAACAUAAGGCAGACAAUUUGAAGAGACUUCCAGUGGUAAAGUGGGCCUCCUGGCUUGUUCUAAGAGCUGCUAUUUCAGAUGUAAGUCUCUCACCAUCUAAGGCCUCUUCUUAAACUACUUACAUAUAGAGCACCUUUCCUUAAUGAGCUCCUUGCCACUAAGAGGUGACUACUGGGAAUACCUAAUCAACACGACAAUGUUUAAACCCAGGCACCUAUCUAUCCUAACAACUGAAACUAAAUUGAAAAGUCCUACUAAGUUACAAUAACUAGCAAUUAACUAUAUAUAAUAAAUUCCCAUCAAAACUGAGGGGAAAAAUGAGGUAAAUCUCUACACAGAAUGAAUCAACUCUAGUUGUAAGUGGUGAGAAGAAACUGAGGAGGAUUGGGGUGUGCUAUUCUUAAAUAAUGCAAUGAGGGGCUAACUACAGAGCACAAACGCCUUACUUAGAUGUGCAGAAAUAUUUGCAGAACCCAUAAGUGGCACAUAUCUGCAACCACUCAAGGACCACCUACAUUGAUAUAGUGAUGUCAUAAAUCAAGAUUCCCAUCACCAGUUCAGACAGUAUAAUUUGUAAAUGAUCUUUAACAAAGUGUAUAAUUAGAAAUGAAAGUAACUAUCUGAAGAUUUAUUUAAAAUGAUCGAUGUGAUUUACCUGAGAUCAGAAGUCAGUGGCAGAGAAAGGACACUCAGAGUGCUAGCUAAGAUUCAGGACAACUCCAGUUACAUGUUUUACUUCAUUACAGACUUCUUGAAUAACAGUGGACAAGUCACUUAGUCUCUAGGUUUCAACUCCCCAUAUGUUAAAUUUGGAGACCGUGAUACCUCCGUACCUCACACAGGAAUGCUGUGAGGAUAAACACAUUGAAUGCCUUCACGUUUAGAUAUUACAGUAAUGGUGGUCCACGUAAGUGCUUAUAUCUAGAUAAGACUAGAGCCAGAUCUUAACUCCAGAUUCUGUGUUCUAUUCACUAAAACAUUUUGCCUCCCUUGCAAGAGUGUCUUCAAGCCUCAGGGCAUAUCUACAAUAAAAACUUCAGUAGACCUAUGUUAGGUGAACUUAUAGCCACUGCAGUAAUUACUGUGGUGGUGUUUGUCCACACUACCCUCCUUCUGUCAGUGAUGGGCAUCCUCACCAGGAGCGCUUCCACCGACUUAAGAAGAACAGUGUGGGGGACUGAGAGUUCAGGCUCUCAGCUCCGUGAGCAGCUCCUCACCAAAAGCUCAGCUACCAAUCUCCCCAGCUCUCAAGUCCCCACACUCCCAGGCUUUUGGCUCCCACCAUGAGCCCAAGGGCGGGGCGGGGAGAGGGGAGAGAGGGAGGUAGAGUCUGGCAGCCAGCAGAGAGUUGAGCAGGGGCAGUCAGGUUCUUGGUGAGGAGCCAAGGAGUCCGUGCAGCUCAAAUCCCGGGAUGCAGCUGGGCUCUAGUUGGAGCUGCCACACCUCCCCAGGGUGACAGGCCAGCAGCCUAUGAAGAAGGCGAGAGCCCUCCGAAUGUCCAGGGUAUGCAGAGUGGCGUCCUUCUGUGAUGCAUGCGGUUUCGG
Non-coding RNA from Pelodiscus sinensis (Chinese soft-shelled turtle), 2164 nucleotides. Lineage: Eukaryota; Metazoa; Chordata; Testudines; Trionychidae. The record is from RefSeq and is a predicted model, not a curated record.